RNAcentral lists this unclassified non-coding RNA (329 nucleotides) under soil metagenome. RNAcentral describes it as "partial contains 5.8S ribosomal RNA, internal transcribed spacer 2, and large subunit ribosomal RNA". The stretch from base 1 to 120 matches the Rfam family "5.8S ribosomal RNA", at positions 35 to 154 of the family's 154-position model. The record is from RNAcentral.
GAUGAAGAACGCAGCGAAAUGCGAUAAGUAGUGUGAAUUGCAGAAUUCAGUGAAUCAUCGAAUCUUUGAACGCACAUUGCGCCCCUUGGUAUCCCGAGGGGCAUGCCUGUUCGAGCGUCAUUUCACCACUCAAGCCUGGCUUGGUGGUGGGCGACGUCCCCUUUAGGGACGCGCCUCGAAACGCUCGGCGGCGUGGCACCGGCUUUAAGCGUAGCAGAAUCUUUCGCUUUGGAAGUCGGGGCCCCGCCUGCCGGAAUACCUACUCGUAAGGUUGACCUCGGAUCAGGCAGGGAUACCCGCUGAACUUAAGCAUAUCAAUAAGCGGAGGA